Molecule: ribosomal RNA, 250 nt
Filed under: uncultured archaeon
Lineage: Archaea
Description: partial 16S ribosomal RNA
Rfam family: Archaeal small subunit ribosomal RNA
Source: RNAcentral
UACCAGCACCCCGAGUGGUCGGGACGAUUAUUGGGCCUAAAGCAUCCGUAGCCGGUUUUACAAGUCCUCCGUUAAAUCCAGCUGCUUAACAGAUGGGCUGCGGAGGAUACUAUAAGACUAGGAGGCAGGAGAGGCAAGCGGUACUCAGUGGGUAGGGGUAAAAUCCGUUGAUCCAUUGAAGACCACCAGUGGCGAAGGCGGCUUGCCAGAAUGCGCUCGACGGUGAGGGAUGAAAGCUGGGGGAGCAAAC